GGCCCAGUGGUGUAGUUGGUCAUCACGUCGUUCUUAUAAUUGCAUUUGCGAUGCAAUUUAUGCGAAGGUCCUGAGUUCAAGCCUCAGUUGGACCA
Molecule: transfer RNA, 95 nt
Filed under: Cercophora newfieldiana
Lineage: Eukaryota; Fungi; Ascomycota; Sordariomycetes; Sordariales; Lasiosphaeriaceae
Rfam family: tRNA
About the family: Transfer RNA (tRNA) molecules are approximately 80 nucleotides in length.
Source: Rfam by way of RNAcentral